CCUACGGGGGGCAGCAGUGAGGAAUAUUGGUCAAUGGCCGGAAGGCUGAACCAGCCAUGCCGCGUGAAGGUCAGUGCCCUAUGGGCGUUAAACUUCUUUUGUGCGGGAGCAAUAAUGGUCACGUGUGGCCAGACGAGAGUACCGUACGAAUAAGCAUCGGCUAACUCCGUGCCAGCAGCCGCGGUAAUACGGGGGAUGCAAGCGUUAUACGGGUUUAAUGGGUUUAAAGGGUGCGUAGGCUGUGAGGUAAGUCAGCGGUGAAAUGCCCCCGGUCAACGGGGUGAAGUGCCAUUGAUACUGCCUUGCUGGAAUGCGGAUGCGGUAGGAGGAAUGUGUGGUGUAGCGGUGAAAUGCGUAGAUAUCACACAGAACACCGAUUGCGAAGGCAUCUCACGAAUCCGCGAUUGACGCUGAUGCACGAAAGCGUGGGUAUCAAACAGGAUUAGAUACCCUUGUAGUC
Molecule: ribosomal RNA, 460 nt
Filed under: uncultured bacterium
Lineage: Bacteria
Description: partial 16S ribosomal RNA
Rfam family: Bacterial small subunit ribosomal RNA
Source: RNAcentral